CAUGAAGCUGGAAUCGCUAGUAAUCGCGGAUCAGAAUGCCGCGGUGAAUACGUUCCCGGGUCUUGUACACACCGCCCGUCACACCAUGGGAGUCGGAAAUGCCCGAAGUCUGUGACCCAACCUCAGGGAGGGAGCAGCCGAAGGCAGGUCGGAUGACUGGGGUGAAGUCGUAACAAGGUACC
RNAcentral lists this ribosomal RNA (182 nucleotides) under uncultured bacterium. Its description in RNAcentral is "partial 16S ribosomal RNA". It matches the Rfam family "Bacterial small subunit ribosomal RNA", at positions 1319 to 1500 of the family's 1533-position model. The record is from RNAcentral.